AGUGAACGCUGGCGGUAGGCCUAACACAUGCAAGUCGAACGGCAGCACAGUAAGAGCUUGCUCUUACGGGUGGCGAGUGGCGGACGGGUGAGGCAUACAUCGGAAUCUACUUUUUCGUGGAGGAUAACGUAGGGAAACUUACGCUACUACCGCAUACGACCUACGGGUGAAAGCAGGGGAUAUUCAGACCUUGCGCGAUUGAAUGAGCCGAUGUCGGAUUAGCUAGUUGGCGGGGUAAAGGCCCACCAAGGCGACGAUCCGUAGCUGGUCUGAGAGGAUGAUCAGCCACACUGGAACUGAGACACGGUCCAGACUCCUACGGGAGGCAGCAGUGGGGAAUAUUGGACAAUGGGCGCAAGCCUGAUCCAGCCAUACCGCGUGGGUGAAGAAGGCCUUCGGGUUGUAAAGCUCUUUUGUUGGGAAAGAAAAGCAGCAGGUUAAUACCCCGCUGUUCUGACGGUACCCAAAGAAUAAGCACCGGCUAACUUCGUG
This 492-nucleotide ribosomal RNA is filed under the name uncultured bacterium. Its description in RNAcentral is "partial 16S ribosomal RNA". It matches the Rfam family "Bacterial small subunit ribosomal RNA", at positions 29 to 507 of the family's 1533-position model. The record is from RNAcentral.